AUAUGAGAAGUGCUUGUUUUGUUCUCUCUAUCUCUCUCUCUCUUCAUUUGGCGAAGGUAGGACUUCUUUUGCUUCUACUAGUAUCGAUUUUAGUUCUAAUCCAUGAUCGGUAGAUGUUUCUUCUCAUCUCUGUAUUGGAUGAUCUUUGAGUGUAGUUCGAUGAAUUGAAUGAGGCAUCCUUCCUCUUUCAUUAGGAUGCUUGUCUUCUUAGUUCUUGUAUUAGCGUAGAGUAGAUCGGUGCGUUCUUUGUGUAGAUG
RNAcentral lists this long non-coding RNA (257 nucleotides) under Musa acuminata (dwarf banana). Its description in RNAcentral is "long non-coding RNA (MACU_LNC001616)". Lineage: Eukaryota; Viridiplantae; Streptophyta; Magnoliopsida; Zingiberales; Musaceae. The record is from RNAcentral.